UACGUAAGAGGCAAGCGUUGUCCGGAAUCAUUGGGCGUAAAGAGCGUGUAGGCGGCCAGAUAAGUCCGCUGUGAAAUCUCGAAGCUCAACUUCGAGCUGUCGGUGGAAACUGUCUGGCUAGAGUCCGGAAGAAGAGAAUGGAAUUCCUGGUAUAGCGGUGAAAUGCGCAGAUAUCAGGAAGAACACCCGUGGCAAAGGCGGUUCUCUGAAACGGUACUGACGCUGAGACGCGAAAGCGUGGGAAGCGAACAGG
This 253-nucleotide ribosomal RNA is filed under the name uncultured bacterium. RNAcentral describes it as "partial 16S ribosomal RNA". It matches the Rfam family "Bacterial small subunit ribosomal RNA", at positions 524 to 776 of the family's 1533-position model. The record is from RNAcentral.